UGCUGUGAUGAUAACGUCAUCUGCGACGAUUUAUUCGUAAAUGUAAUUGUUUUAGUCCGGUUCUUUUUGCGGCAUGGGAAACGUUAUUUAAACGUUAGUUUAUUAAAAUUAGAAACUUUGCGUCUUGCGAACCCAAAGAGUUUGACGGAUUUGUGAUGUGACCAAAUGAUAGAUUCUGAAUGAUUAAACAUCAUAAAAUUC
Mercenaria mercenaria is the source of this 201-nucleotide long non-coding RNA. RefSeq lists it as uncharacterized. NCBI's taxonomy places the organism in Eukaryota, Metazoa, Mollusca, Bivalvia, Venerida, Veneridae. The transcript is spliced from 2 exons. The record is from RefSeq and is a predicted model, not a curated record.